GAUAGAAACCAACCUGGCUCACACCGGUCUGAACUCAAAUCAUGUAAAGUUUUAAAGGUCGAACAGACCUUCUUUUAUAGUCUCUACUCCAUAAAGAACCUUUAAUUCAACAUCGAGGUCGCAAACUCUCUUAUCGAUAAGAACUCUCAAAGAAAAUUACGCUGUUAUCCCUAAAGUAACUUAAUCUUUAAUCCACUUUAGGAUCAUCCACUCAAACAUUAUUGUAAUAAAAAAAAACAGUUGCUUUCCCUUCUAUUUUUGUCGCCCCAACCAAAUACUUUAAAAUAAUAACCCUUAAACAAAACAUACCCAUCACUUUUUAAUAUAAAGUUUUAUAGGGUCUUAUCGUCCCUCCAGAUUAUUUAAGCCUUUUCACUUAAAAGUUAAAUUCAAUAUAUUAACCUAAGACAGAUUAUUUCUUGUCCGACCAUUCAUUCUAGCCUCCAAUUAAAAAACUAAUGAUUAUGCUACCUUCGCACGGUC
This 483-nucleotide ribosomal RNA is filed under the name Orconectes australis. RNAcentral describes it as "partial 16S ribosomal RNA". Lineage: Eukaryota; Metazoa; Arthropoda; Malacostraca; Decapoda; Cambaridae. The record is from RNAcentral.